GACGAACGCUGGCGGCGUGCUUAACACAUGCAAGUCGAACGGAAAGGCCCUGCUUUUGUGGGGUGCUCGAGUGGCGAACGGGUGAGUAACACGUGAGUAACCUGCCCUUGACUUUGGGAUAACUUCAGGAAACUGGGGCUAAUACCGGAUAGGAGCUCCUGCUGCAUGGUGGGGGUUGGAAAGUUUCGGCGGUUGGGGAUGGACUCGCGGCUUAUCAGCUUGUUGGUGGGGUAGUGGCUUACCAAGGCUUUGACGGGUAGCCGGCCUGAGAGGGUGACCGGCCACAUGGGGACUGGGACACGCGCCAGAGGCGUGCGGCAGGCAACGGUGGGGUAGAGUGCGCAAUGGGGUGAGGCCUGAGGCAGCAGUGGGGGGUGGGGAACGACGGACGGAGGGUUGUGAACGGCGGGCGCCGGUGGUGAAGCGGGACUGAGGGUGAUGGACAAAGAAGCACCGGCUAACUACGUGCCAGCCGCGGAGGUAAAAGUAGGAAGCGCAAACGUCGGAA
This 508-nucleotide ribosomal RNA is filed under the name uncultured bacterium. Its description in RNAcentral is "partial 16S ribosomal RNA". It matches the Rfam family "Bacterial small subunit ribosomal RNA", at positions 30 to 543 of the family's 1533-position model. The record is from RNAcentral.